RNA transcript from Nycticebus coucang (slow loris), 577 nucleotides. It is a transcript of the gene named ribosomal protein L30, with no coding region annotated. The transcript is spliced from 5 exons. NCBI's taxonomy places the organism in Eukaryota, Metazoa, Chordata, Mammalia, Primates, Lorisidae. The record is from RefSeq and is a predicted model, not a curated record.
CCGGCGCCGCCGGGAAGCGCUUUGCAUUGUGGGAACUCCUUCCUUUCUCGCUCCCCGGCCAUCUUGGCGGCUGGUCUUGGUUGGGGGCCGUCGCGCAUCUAGGGCAGGAAGAUGGUGGCCGCAAAGAAGACGAAAAAGUCGCUGGAGUCGAUCAACUCAAGGCUCCAGCUCGUUAUGAAAAGUGGAAAGUAUGUGCUGGGUUACAAGCAGACUUUGAAAAUGAUCAGACAAGGCAAAGCGAAAUUGGUCAUCCUCGCCAACAACUGCCCAGCUUUGAGGUAAUUGAAGGAACCUGAGCUUGCGUCUCCCGCUGCAAACUCAACGAAAUCUGAAAUAGAGUAUUAUGCCAUGUUAGCCAAAACUGGUGUUCAUCACUACAGUGGCAAUAAUAUUGAAUUGGGCACAGCAUGUGGAAAAUACUACAGAGUAUGUACACUGGCCAUCAUUGAUCCAGGUGACUCUGAUAUCAUUAGAAGCAUGCCAGAACAGACUGGUGAAAAGUAAAUCAUGUACAUUUUUUCUUUAAUAAAACUUGCUAGAGCUUGUUUUAAAACAGUGUAUCCAUUUUAUUUAUGUC